RNAcentral lists this ribosomal RNA (425 nucleotides) under uncultured bacterium. RNAcentral's name for it is "bacterial SSU rRNA". It matches the Rfam family "Bacterial small subunit ribosomal RNA", at positions 354 to 796 of the family's 1533-position model. The record is from RNAcentral.
GUGGGGAAUCUUAGACAAUGGGCGCAAGCCUGAUCUAGCCAUGCCGCGUGAGCGAUGAAGGCCUUAGGGUUGUAAAGCUCUUUCGCUGGGGAAGAUAAUGACUGUACCCAGUAAAGAAGCCCCGGCUAACUCCGUGCCAGCAGCCGCGGUAAUACGGAGGGGGCUAGCGUUGUUCGGAAUUACUGGGCGUAAAGCGCGCGUAGGCGGAUUGGAAAGUUGGGGGUGAAAUCCCGGGGCUCAACCUCGGAACUGCCUUCAAAACUCCCAGUCUUGAGUUCGAGAGAGGUGAGUGGAAUUCCGCGUGUAGAGGUGAAAUUCGUAGAUAUUCGGAGGAACACCAGUGGCGAAGGCGGCUCACUGGCUCGAUACUGACGCUGAGGUGCGAAAGCGUGGGGAGCAAACAGGAUUAGAUACCCUUGUAGUCC